Molecule: transfer RNA, 71 nt
Filed under: Microcaldota archaeon
Lineage: Archaea; Nanobdellati; Microcaldota
Description: tRNA-Val
Rfam family: tRNA
About the family: Transfer RNA (tRNA) molecules are approximately 80 nucleotides in length. Their secondary structure includes four short double-helical elements and three loops (D, anti-codon, and T loops). Further hydrogen bonds mediate the characteristic L-shaped molecular structure. tRNAs have two regions of fundamental functional importance: the anti-codon, which is responsible for specific mRNA codon recognition, and the 3' end, to which the tRNAs corresponding amino acid is attached (by aminoacyl-tRNA synthetases). tRNAs cope with the degeneracy of the genetic code in two manners: having more than one tRNA (with a specific anti-codon) for a particular amino acid; and 'wobble' base-pairing, i.e. permitting non-standard base-pairing at the 3rd anti-codon position.
Source: RNAcentral
GGAGGCAUUGUCUAACGGUAGGACGUCACCCUUACACGGUGAAGGUCUGGGUUCGACUCCCUGUGCCUCCA